AGUUUGAUCAUGGCUCAGAUUGAACGCUGGCGGGAUGCUUUACAUGCAAGUCGAACGGCAGCACGGACUUCGGUCUGGUGGCGAGUGGCGAACGGGUGAGUAAUGUAUCCGGAACGUGCCUAGUAGCGGGGGAUAACUACGCGAAAGCGUAGCUAUUACGCAUACGCCCUUCGGGGGAAAGCGGGGGACCUUCGGGCCUCGCACUAUUAGAGCGGCCGAUAUCGGAUUGGCCUAGUUGGUGGGGUAACGGCUCGCCAAGGCGACGAUCCGUAGCUGGUUUGAGAGGACGACCAGCCACACUGGGACUGAGACGGCAGACUCCUACGGGGAGGCAGCGGUGGGGAAUUUUGGACAAUGGGGAAACCCUGAUCCAGCCAUCCCGCGUGUGCGAUGAAGGCCUUCGGGUUGUAAAGCACUUUUUGGCAGGAAAGAAACGGCACGGAUAAUACCCCGAUGCAACUGACGGCUACCUGCAGAAUAAGCACCGGCUAACUACGUGCCAGCAGCCGCGGUAAUACGUAGGGUGCAAGCGUUAAUCGGAAUUACUGGGCGUAAAGCGUGCGCAGGCGGUUCGGAAAGAAAGAUGUGAAAUCCCAGAGCUUAACUUUGGAACUGCAUUUUUAACUACCGAGCUAGAGUGUGUCAGAGGAGGUGGAAUUCCGCGUGUAGCAGUGAAAUGCGUAGAUAUGCGGAGGAACACCGAUGGCGAAGGCAGCCUCCUGGGAUAACACUGACGCUCAUGCACGAAAGCGUGGGAGCAAACAGGAUUAGAUACCCUGGUAGUCCACGCCUAAACGAUGUCAACUGGCUAUUUGGGGCCUUCGGGCCUUGGUAGCGCAGCUAACGCGUGAAGUUGACCGCCUGGGAGAAUACGGUCGCAAGAUUAAAACUCCAAAGGAAUUGACGGGGACCCGCACAAGCGGUGGAUGAUGUGGAUUAAUUCGAUGCAACGCGAAAAACCUUACCUACCCUUGACAUGUCUGGAAUCCCGAAGAGAUUUGGGAGUGCUCGCAAGAGAACCGGAACACAGGUGCUGCAUGGCUGUCGUCAGCUCGUGUCGUGAGAUGUUGGGUUAAGUCCCGCAACGAGCGCAACCCUUGUCGUGUAGUUGCUACGAAGGGCACUCUAAUGAGACUGCCGGUGACAAACCGGAGGAAGGUGGGGAUGACGUCAAGUCCUCAUGGCCCUUAUGGGUAGGGCUUCACACAUCAUACAAUGGUCGAAACGGGGGUCGCCAACCCGCGAGGGGGGCCAAUCCCAGAAACUGAUCGUAGUCCGGAUCGCAGUCUGCAACUCGACGUGCGUGAAGUCAGUCGCUGGCUAAUCGCGGAUCAGCAUGUCGCGGCCAGAUACGUUCCGGGUCUUGUACACACCGCCCGUCACACCAUGGGAGUGGGUUUUACCGAAGUAGUUAGCCUAACCGUAAGGAGGCGAUUACCACGGUAGGAUUCAUGACUGGGGUGACGGGCGGUGAUAUGCAAGACCCGGGAACAUGUUCACCGCGAACAUCGGUAUAGCGAUUCGGCAGUCAGUUGAUCCGUUGUUUCUGGGAUUAACCCCUCGCAGGUUAUUUCUGUCGACCGUUAUUAUUUAUGUGAAGCCCUACCACGCCAAAAAAAACCGUGGCAUCCCGCCUUCCUCCGGUUCGUCACCGACGCUUUCGUAACUGGCGGGAUAACAACAUCUCGCAUUUUGAGCGACGACCAUCUACCGAUUCCGCGGCACUUUAAAUACUUCGGGAUUCAGACAUGUCGAAAAAAGUAAAGGUAGGUUUUCGCGUUGCAGAUGUCGAACCAAUCCACCGCUUUGUGCGAAAGGUCCGUCCAGUCGCUUGAGGUUUUGUCUUUACUCCCAGGCUUCGCGCCAGCCUGCGCUACCAAGGCCCGAAAACUGGCAACUAGUUGACGUCGUUCAGGGCUAAUCUCAAUCUGUUUGCUCCCUCCGCGCACUCGUCAGCGAGCGUCGGUGUUAUCCAUCGGUGUUCCUCGCAUCUGCGCGUUUCGCGCUACACGCCUAGUUCCCGCACACUCCC
Molecule: unclassified non-coding RNA, 2032 nt
Filed under: uncultured Bordetella sp.
Lineage: Bacteria; Pseudomonadati; Pseudomonadota; Betaproteobacteria; Burkholderiales; Alcaligenaceae
Description: partial 16S-23S ribosomal RNA intergenic spacer
Rfam family: Bacterial small subunit ribosomal RNA (bases 1-1516)
Source: RNAcentral